AUAAGGCUGGACGACUAAAGGAA
Molecule: microRNA, 23 nt
Filed under: Heligmosomoides polygyrus
Lineage: Eukaryota; Metazoa; Nematoda; Chromadorea; Rhabditida; Heligmosomidae
Description: hpo-miR-9-3p
Gene: hpo-miR-9-3p
Source: miRBase by way of RNAcentral